This 1316-nucleotide ribosomal RNA is filed under the name uncultured bacterium. RNAcentral's name for it is "bacterial SSU rRNA". It matches the Rfam family "Bacterial small subunit ribosomal RNA", at positions 28 to 1365 of the family's 1533-position model. The record is from RNAcentral.
GACGAACGCUGGCGGCGCGCCUAACACAUGCAAGUCGAACGAGCGAGAGAGAGCUUGCUUUCUCGAGCGAGUGGCGAACGGGUGAGUAACGCGUGAGGAACCUGCCUCAAAGAGGGGGACAACAGUUGGAAACGACUGCUAAUACCGCAUAAGCCCACGGUGCCGCAUGGCACAGAGGGAAAAGGAGCAAUCCGCUUUGAGAUGGCCUCGCGUCCGAUUAGCUAGUUGGUGAGGUAACGGCCCACCAAGGCGACGAUCGGUAGCCGGACUGAGAGGUUGAACGGCCACAUUGGGACUGAGACACGGCCCAGACUCCUACGGGAGGCAGCAGUGGGGAAUAUUGCACAAUGGGGGAAACCCUGAUGCAGCGACGCCGCGUGGAGGAAGAAGGUCUUCGGAUUGUAAACUCCUGUUGUUGGGGAAGAUAAUGACGGUACCCAACAAGGAAGUGACGGCUAACUACGUGCCAGCAGCCGCGGUAAAACGUAGGUCACAAGCGUUGUCCGGAAUUACUGGGUGUAAAGGGAGCGCAGGCGGGAAGACAAGUUGGAAGUGAAGUCUAUGGGCUCAACCCAUAAACUGCUUUCAAAACUGUUUUUCUUGAGUAGUGCAGAGGUAGGCGGAAUUCCCGGUGUAGCGGUGGAAUGCGUAGAUAUCGGGAGGAACACCAGUGGCGAAGGCGGCCUACUGGGCACCAACUGACGCUGAGGCUCGAAAGUGUGGGUAGCAAACAGGAUUAGAUACCCUGGUAGUCCACACCGUAAACGAUGAUUACUAGGUGUUGGAGGAUUGACCCCUUCAGUGCCGCAGUUAACACAAUAAGUAAUCCACCUGGGGAGUACGACCGCAAGGUUGAAACUCAAAGGAAUUGACGGGGGCCCGCACAAGCAGUGGAGUAUGUGGUUUAAUUCGACGCAACGCGAAGAACCUUACCAAGUCUUGACAUCCCUUGACAGGCAUAGAAAUAUGUUUUCUCUUCGGAGCAAGGAGACAGGUGGUGCAUGGUUGUCGUCAGCUCGUGUCGUGAGAUGUUGGGUUAAGUCCCGCAACGAGCGCAACCCUUAUGGUCAGUUACUACGCAAGAGGACUCUGGCCAGACUGCCGUUGACAAAACGGAGGAAGGUGGGGAGGACGUCAAAUCAUCAUGCCCUUUAUGACUUGGGCUACACACGUACUACAAUGGCGUUAAACAAAGAGAAGCAAGACCGCGAGGUGGAGCAAAACUCAGAAACAACGUCCCAGUUCGGACUGCAGGCUGCAACUCGCCUGCACGAAGUCGGAAUUGCUAGUAAUCGUGGAUCAGCAUGCCACGGUGA